UUGGGCACAGGCGAAGACGCCCACAGCCGGCCGACCGCACCACCGGCGGCAAGAGGAUCUCCCAUCGCGCUCGUCCUCGGAGUAGGAGCCAUCGUGGAGGUGGGUGCCGGGCGCGACGCCGUUGGAGGCGCCAUUCACGAGUCCGAGUGCCUCUGGGCUCCAUGUGCCAGAUCGGCCGGAGCGGCUGCCCGACGGCGGGCUCGCCAACGGGAGGCCGAGGGACACGAGGCAGCGGCGAGUGCCUGUACACGGUGGAGGCGGAGGAGUCAUCGCAAGAGCGUGGCCUUGGCGCGGGCGCAGCGCGACGCGAGGGCAAGGCCUUGGCAGUCGGCACGGGUGGGCGCG
This 345-nucleotide long non-coding RNA is filed under the name Hordeum vulgare. RNAcentral describes it as "long non-coding RNA (HVUL_LNC020359)". Lineage: Eukaryota; Viridiplantae; Streptophyta; Magnoliopsida; Poales; Poaceae. The record is from RNAcentral.